This 492-nucleotide ribosomal RNA is filed under the name uncultured bacterium. RNAcentral describes it as "partial 16S ribosomal RNA". It matches the Rfam family "Bacterial small subunit ribosomal RNA", at positions 29 to 507 of the family's 1533-position model. The record is from RNAcentral.
AGUGAACGCUGGCGGUAGGCCUAACACAUGCAAGUCGAACGGCAGCACAGUAAGAGCUUGCUCUUACGGGUGGCGAGUGGCGGACGGGUGAGGAAUACAUCGGAAUCUACUUUUUCGUGGGGGAUAACGUAGGGAAACUUACGCUAAUACCGCAUACGACCUACGGGUGAAAGCAGGGGAUCUUCGGACCUUGCGCGAUUGAAUGAGCCGAUGUCGGAUUAGCUAGUUGGCGGGGUAAAGGCCCACCAAGGCGACGAUCCGUAGCUGGUCUGAGAGGAUGAUAAGCCACACUGGAACUGAGACACGGUCCAGACUCCUACGGGAGGCAGCAGUGGGGAAUAUUGGACAAUGGGCGCAAGCAUGAUCCAGCCAUCCCGCGUGGGUGAAGAAGGCGUUCGGGUUGUAAAGCCCUUUUGUUGGGAAAGAAAAGCAGCAGGUUAAUACCCAGCUGUUCUGACGGUACCCAAAGAAUAAGCACCGGCUAACUUCGUG